CUCUAAGUCUGAAACCUUCCUGCUUUCAAGAUUCCUGUAUCUAUUGGAAAACACAGAGCAGCAGAGCCCUUCCCCCACCCUCUUGGUACUAUUUAGUUUCUAAGUUGCUUCAUCAGGAGAAAAUUACUGAGUUCUCCAUUUCCUCUGCUCGCUUUCCUACAGAAGAGAGUGGCGCUAACAUCUUCUGAAUUGUGACUAGAUCGACAUUGUAACAGCUACGGGAGCAGGCCUGCUCCGCAGAACACAAGCGCACUUUCUUCUCUGAGAAAAGACUGGUUUCCUCAGCGUUAAAGUCCCCUUGUCCCCCAACCCGUACCACCCCCCUCGCCUCCCCUCCCACCACCAGCUCAACCCAGAUCACGUUAGAGUCCCAGAGCACAGGGCACAGUUCUCAUCUGUCUGUCACCAAGGAGGCAGACGGGAUGGAGAAACAACAAGUCGCUUGUACCUGAAGAGGAGGACACUCCUGGGAAACAAACAGAUGAGCCACCCCACGAAUCCGAGCCACGCUGGAGCACUUUCCUCAGUAAUGGCAAAACCCGGAGCUGGCAGUGACAUCCUAAAACAAGCUCGUACUUAAUGAACGCCCAGUUUACAAUAUUAUCAACCUAACUGACAGCUCCACAGAGGAGACCAUUAUCCAGUGAGCCUCUGCGCGUUGCAAGGUAAUUCCCAGGAUGCCCGUGGAAGGACUAGCCAUGCUCCUGUUGGCAGAAAGUGCUCUCCGGAUUCAUGCAGCAUUAUGUCCUGAGCUGAGUGGGGCAUGCCUGUGCUGGGUGAAGCAGAAGGGAUUCAACUCAAAGAAGGCCUCUGGAAACUCUUGAAGGUGGCAGCUCUGCAGGCAAGAAGACGCUAUGAGCAUGGAAAUGCAGCACUCACAGUGUCGAUGAGGAGCGGAGACAUCUGCCACUGUCUAGCUGCUGUGCAUACAACCAUCUUCUAUGGCCAUCCUUAUAAACCAGUGAUUUGAGACAGAGACUCUGCCAAGGAUGAAGAAAAUGUCAGCUAUUCUCCAGGGAAGAGAGAAGGGGAUUCUUAGAAUCAAAAAGCCUGACAUCCGGACCAAGUUCUUGCCAUUCUGAGGCAAGAGGUUUCUGGAUCAAAACGGAACCAAAAGGUGCAUUUGGCACCAUUCAAUCAACCUUAUCAGUAGCACCCAGGAAGGCUUUCCUCUGACACAGGGGGUUUCAUCUGAACACAGAGUUCCUGUGAAUCCUGCAGGCUGCAUUCACAAUCCUUGCGACCUGGAAACCAGCCCCAAGCAGGCAAGAGCCGCUGACCCCCACCCUUUCCUUUCUCCAGAACCUCUUUGUUUCUUCCUCUUGAACCUCCAGGAUUCUUUUUGAGAAUGCAUUGUAUUUCCUUUUCUUGAAACAUUUAUACAGAAAUUGAGUCUCCUAAAUUAGCACUCAGGUUAGGACAGAGCAAGACCUGGGAAAUCACGUCUGAAUUCUGCACAGUGCUGGGACCAGAUGGAGCCUCAAGAGAGCUUAUUCAGAGAACUUGGAUCCUCUCACGUCCCUUCGACUGGGCCAGCCCACAGAGGCAGGUUACGGCAGGAACGGAGGAUGAACUUAGCUCUUGGUUUUCUUUGUUCUAGAACCUUUAUUUGCAUGUUUACUUUGAGAGAGGCUUUCCAGUUGCACAGUCUGGCCUUGAACUCUCCAGGUAGUCAAGGAUGAUCUCGACCUCAUCAUCCUGUCUCUACCUUCAAGGGGAGACACCCAUCACCAUACCUGGUUUUAUGUGGUGUCAGGGAUUGAACUCAGAGCCUUAUGCGUGUGAGACAAGAACUCCACCAACUGAGCUACAUCCCCAGUCUUGCUCUAGAACUUCUGAAUAAUGUGGACAUGGUUCAAGGUGCACUGAGCAGUUCCUUGCAGCCUGUAAAAUUAUCGGCGUUUUCAGUUGGAGCGAUCGACUGUUUCCAUUAAUGGAGCUUGGUUGAUAAUGGAGAGUGAGUAGAGAGAUCUCCCUUUGGAAUAAUGGGGAAAAGACAAGUAGCCAUCCUUGCAAUGACUCUGGUUAUUCUCAUGAGAAGUAGCUAUCUUUUUUUUUUUUUUAAACACUUCUGAAAUGAGGCCUGAGGCAUCUUUAGUAGUUAGCCACUGGCUGGCCAACUGCACCUGAGAAAGCCUGAGUAACUCCCAUUUCCUCCAGGCUGUACUCGCUCUAUUGACUUUUCUAACUUUUCAUCCUGUCGGUUCCUUUCCCAAGAAAACUUUAAUUUGACUUCACAGUUUAGACAUGCUAAUUCUUGUCUGUAUUAUAUUAAAUUGCACAUUUUUAACAUAUAGGCUUUUGAAAAUGGAAUUCACAUGUGGGAUAUUUUUGUCGUAAAUUUUUAGAAUUGCAGUAUAUAAUUAUCACAUAGCAUAACAAACUGCCAUGUGGAUCACCUUCUUGCACUGAGGUGUUUAUGUUGUAAACAAGCCUAUCCUUUAAUGGAAUAUUUGCCAGUGCCUGUAUUCAGAGAACUGCUCCAAAGGCGUGUGCUCAGAAGUUAGGAAAUAAUUAUAUUUCCAAACAUAAUCUUUUCUAAUCAUCCCAUUUUUGUUUUAUUUAAAAAUAACCUGGGGGUCUCUAAGACAGGUACAAUUAUCUUUGAUCUCAGCUCUGAGGUACCACCCUUAGAGAAAAUUAUUCAGGGAGGGAGCCAAAUGAAGGGAGAACUGAAAAGGGAGGGGCAAAUAAAUUCAUAGAUUAAGUUUUCUUUUUCAGAAGAAUCUUCACUCUAACCAUAAAUGAAUAUACUAGCAGGAAGCUGCCUAAAUUUAGCUUCUACCAAGCGGGGGGAGUGGCUACAGAGCACUGAAUUGAUUCUUAAGAUUUAACGGAUCACCCAUGUCAUUUAGUGCACAGCAAUGUUCAGUGAUAUUCACAACUGGGCCACUUGCACACAACUCUAUUUGAGGGCCAACAGGAAGCACAGAUGUUGAUGAGAUUUUGGGGCACCACUGUGAAGCAUAUCAAGUCCUUGGUUUACAGAGCUGGAUGAAUGGUGGGUGAGCAAGGAGCAGAAGGACUACCGACCCGAAAAGAACAGGACAGGAGACAAGGUGAGGAAGUGGAUCCCAGGGAUGUGUGCUGAGCCUGGAGAAAUUGGCAUCUCCUAGGUGAGACAGGCAACAGAAGCAAAGAAAGCAAAGACAAGCAGUCUGGUGGUUUGUGGAAACACCCGGAUAUUUCUGAAAUCAAAUAAUUUUAUUCCCAGGGUGGGCCUGGGAAUAAACCAGUGUGUGUACCAGGCCCCUGGGAUGCAUGAGCCAUGGCACCGUAGGAAUUUUGUUUUCCCUGAACAAAAAGUAGUUUCUAUUUUAGUCUCUAGUCUGGAAGCUUUAGUCUUUUAGAAAGGUACAGCCAUGGGGCCACUCAUGGUGUACGCUUUGUACUGCUCCCUCCCCCCAUCCCAUUCCAUCGCCUAUAGAAAACUCUCAGACAGAACCCGACACUCUGGGCCUUUCUUUCCACUGCGCUGUUGAGGAGAGCUCAGACACCUGCCAUAUCCUAGACUCCGAGAGGCACGGCACGGAGGGCAGACACAGGCCUCCAGGAACCCACAGCCAUGCAUUCAUUCCUCCGUGCCAUCUCCUCGGGUCUCAGAGGAUGCUGCAAGGUGGCGAGAAGCCAGAUGGCAAACAAAGCCACUCUGUGUGGAGGGAACAGGCUCUCUCCUCUGUCCCUUUUCCUGUCCGAGGAAUGUGUAAACAUCGUGCCAGUGGCAUUCCCAGAGACACUACUCGCCUUCCGUAAAAUCCAGUGAAAUAGACUUUCCCAACAAUGUAUAAAUGUUUCGUUGUUAGCUUUAUUGUUUCGGAGUUCCAGAGUGUUUCAACACUUCUUACAUACCCAUAUUGGCUCUUUCCAUACUACGGUGUGACCAGGUGUGAUCAAGAUCUUCCUCUGGCAGGAGGAAGACCAAGGUGGCAUAAGCGUCUUCUACCAGCUGGAAAGGCUGCAGCAUGAGGGGAUAGAGAACACCCCACUAAACAAAUGAGUGUCUAAGAGCUGGCUGCUGGGGAUAUACAGGGCCCUGGAGAGCAGAUUCUACCAUUACACGGCUGAGAGAGGGAAACUUGAGAAAUUGGGAGAGGUGCUGAGACUCAGAGAUGGAGUGGUGGGAUGUCAAGAGGGUUUUCCAUAUAGAAGAAUGGCAAUGACACGUGCAGGAGAUCAUAGAAUUUAUAUCACCCAGGGAAUGUGUGACCUAACAGGUUUCAGUGGAGGAAAUCUAGACCUUUUGUGAAUCUUGACUAAUAGAGUGCUUGCCUUUGGCCUUGGGUAUUAGCUAUAGCAAAAGGCGCUCUCCCCAUAGCUAGUGAUACUGGGGAAGUAGCUCGUAGUUUGCAAUCGAGGGGUUGAAUCCAGUUAAGGGCAGACUGGGGCUGGAGGUCAUCUGCUGGGAUUGUCUAUCAAAGCUCCUAGACUUCCAUUAGCUAGAGCAAGGUAACCAUAACUGGAGAAGCACCCGCCUUGAAGGAAGGCUCUCUCAAUAACUUUAAUGGGUGGUUUUAAGUGGCGUUUUCCUGGUUGAGUUACAGUGUCACCUCUGUGUGUGAUGCCAGCUGCCAUGGCAAUGUUGUCCCCACCAAAUAUACCUUAGUAAUUAGGAGAGUUAGAGCAGUCUAAUAGAGUGAUUGAGGACUCAUGAUUUGCAACCAGAGAACACACAGAGCUGUUAGUGAAAUAAUCCAGAAUAACAUAGAGUCACUGGAUAUCCUCACAUAGGUAUGUUCCAGGGGAAUUGGCCCAAAGACACAAUAUUCUAUAAGUCACACUCACCCAAUGGCAUGUGACCACAGGCUUGGGACUACUAUAACCCACAAGCCCAGUUUCUUUUGUCCUUUGGGAUCCUCUCUUUGGUUCAUUCCAGCUGCAUCCACAUAGACCUUUACUAGGUAUCUUGAUUACUGUUAAUGCAGAUGGUCUCUCCCUAUGGUUGAGAGUUGUGCUCAGCACAGUAAAACUCACUCAUAUAUUCCAGGAGCCUGAGAACAAAGUCAAUCGUCCCAAACAUUUCUUUCAAAUGUGGGGAUCUCUCCAUCUAUUUUCUCUGACGCAAUAGUCAAGGCAUAGAGUGAUAUGAUAUAAUUUAUAGAGGUUUUUGCAACAUGGGGAAAAAAUAAACUAGUUCCCUGAGAUCACUAACUAUGGAGACUGUAAGCGUUAGAACUGCAAAUCUCCCCUGGGAGCCAGGUGUAGGCGCUUUUUUAUUUGAGAGAUGAUCUUCGGCGUGAUCCUGGAACUCAGGGCUGAUAAGAGUUCAACCUUGCUAAGUAACCUUGCAAGUGGCUCUAAACCCCUCCGGUGCUCUGCUUCCUCCUCUGUAAAUGCAUGAGAUAAUCCUCACCUUUCAGACCUGAAGAACACAGUGACACUUGGCACAAAGAGCUUGGCACAUUACGAGCGUGGAAUAUACUAUAGAUAUUUUGUUUGCCAAGGAGAUCAAGAUAUUUGGGAGGAGCAGGGAUGAUAUUCUUUACCUACCAUUUAAGGAAUACUCUCCCAAAAGUCCUUAAAGUAAACUUGACUCGAAGGCACAUGAUUACAUUUAUAAUACGGUUCCGAUUGCACAAGUUCACACAGGUGAGCUAAUCCGCGGAUCCAUAAGCCAUCUUCACCACUGUGUGGGUUAUUCUGACCUUCUCCCUGUUAUGAAGUCAGACACUUGGUGUCACCCAACCAAAUAAAAACAAGGCAUACUCUUAAACUCACAGUGCCACGUCAGGCAUUUCCUGCGUGGACGAAGCCAUUCAUAGACAAGACAGACACAGAGCAGACUGUCAGGGAGACAGGGAUCAAAGGCUUGCUUUGUUUCUCUGAGCCACAGUAGCAGGUGAAUAAUGGCAUUUUCUUAGUGGUAAGAACGGGUCUGCUUUUAGAUCAUUCCUCUGUGUUUUCCUUGGAUCCAGGAAGUGUCUGUGAGGACUCAGUAAAGCACAAGGAUAAGACUCAAUCUUCAAUAACAACACUCAUAGGAAGGGUGAUUCUCAAAGACAAUUAGGAAAUUGUCUGUGAGCUUCUAAAACCACUCAGCGAAGUUUACCAAGUCUGAGAAAAAUGUUGAGUGUCUCUCUUUGUGACAAGUACCAUAAAGCUACUAAAGGAACUAUAGGGAAGGAACUCCUUCUGGCCCCUUCUGUUUGGUCCUUAUGUAUAGGACCCAGCGCAGGUUCAAUGAAGAGGAUCCAAGAGAGGGUAUAGAGUAUAUGGUACUAGCAUUCGACGGUAGAUGUGUAGGUGGGGGCAUAGCUCAGUGACACACUGCUGGCCUGGCACGCGCAAGCCUGCUGUUUCAUUAACAGCACUUAACAUGCACAGAAAGACCACGUGUCCACACUGGCCAGGUAACAUCAGAGCUCCUAGGACCUCCCUCUGGACUCCUAAAACUCAACUCCUCAUGGGCUUGUACUUGAUAAUUAGUGAUGAGGUUAACUAUGACUUAUCCUGACAUUUUAGAAUUUAAAUACACAAUUUUAUGUAAGUGCUCAAUGCUAAGGAUUUCUGGAUGAGAUAGACCAGGUGAUGCCUCUGUGAAACCGGUAAAGAUGACUCAAAAAAAAAAUUAUAGGGAGACAGAUAGACAACAACGCACCAGAAGUAAGCCUAGCCAGACAUCACUAGUUCUGUCGCCCCUGACUGACAGUGUGAAGAUGCUGAAGCCUCAUCCUAAAGAUAAGUCAGGAUGCCGUGGAGAAGAAACAGGACAGGCUCAGAAAUAGAAGAGCACGGUGGUGGCGGUGGCAGCAUUCGCAGCAGCCAUAGCUUCAGUGACAAGGAGCAAACUUCAUUCCCCAAGAGUAACUCAGGACUUCCACGACCCUGCGCCUGAGGUCAGAGGGUGAGCCGACCUCCAGAGCCAUCAAUCUGCCACUCACUGCUGUGGAGCCAAAAACUCUCAAGGACCAGCAGGGUGUACUUGAUGUCUUCAGUUGCGUCUCUGCGGGAGAACGCUUAGGGGAUCUGGAGGGUAUGAAAAUGGGUCCUUGUGCACAUCUGUCAGUGCCGUGCAUGCCCCUCGUACUUGUGUCACACUUGGGAGAUACCUCCCAGCUCUCACAUUAGCCAGUUUAAGGGAACUACGAGCGUGAGUGAAUUCCCAGCCCAUAUACUGCAAAGCUGAGUGUGGCCAAGACUGCUUGGUGUGCACAGAAGGGAAAAUAGUUACUAAAGAGAAGACAGCUCUGGUGGGACCCCAGACACGUGGCGGGGUGGGGGUAACACUGUGUAAACCCUAAGCCCCGAGGUGUAACCCCAGCCCCCGCUUCCUCACACACAGGCCUACUGCCGCCAAUCUCAGAGACCAUUGUUCCAGUUUCACCUCUUCCCUCCUCCCCCCUCCAUUCUUUCUUCCUCCCGCCUUUCUUUGUUUAUUCUUUCCUUCCUUUCUGCCAUCAUUUCUCUCUUCUUUCCUCCUUCUCUUCAUUCCUUCGUCUCCCCUCACCCUCCCUCUUUCCUUCGCACCCUGUUCCUUUGUUUAUUCUUUUCUGUUGCCCUUGUGUGCCUCCAUUUCUCUUAUAUUUUAAAUGAUAUUUUUUUACCUUAUUGAAUUAAAAAAAAAACAGGUUUUAUAAUUCCUUUUUCUAAUUUGUAAAAUUUUCUUUAUGCAUUUUUAUCAUUGAGCAGUCAUUUUCUCCUUCAUCUCUUUUUUUCUUCUUUUUACUAUAUUUGACCCACCUUUCCCAUUUGCAUUUUCCUAUGCUAUUUGGCUUCAUCUUAAUUUUAAAACUCAUAUACCUACGCGCUUGCCUUGAAACGUUCUUGUAAUCGUUUGACCUUUUCCUCUAUUCCUAUCCUUCUUUCUUCUAAUUAAUCAACUAA
This is a long non-coding RNA of Meriones unguiculatus (Mongolian gerbil), 7821 nucleotides long. RefSeq lists it as uncharacterized. The record is from RefSeq and is a predicted model, not a curated record. Lineage: Eukaryota; Metazoa; Chordata; Mammalia; Rodentia; Muridae. The transcript is spliced from 6 exons.